AGUUGUGGCACAUCGGCUCAGUAGCUGUGGCUUGUGGGCUCUAGAACACAGGCUCAGUAGUCGUGGUGCAUGGACUUAGUUGCUCCGUGGCAUGUGGGAUCUUCCAGAGCAGGGCUCAAACCCAUGUCCCCUGAAUUGGCAGGUGGAUUCUUAAUCACUGCACCACCAGGGCAGUUCCCAGUUCUGUUACUUUUUAUUUAAGGUGUUUUGGAGCUCUGAUGCUAGGUGCAUAUAUAUUUUUAACUAUUAGGUAUUCUUGGUGUAUUGACCCUUUUAUCAUUCUGAAAUGUCCCUUAGGCACUUACCUUAGUAUUUCUUGUAAAAGAAAUAAAGAAAUUUUCUGUUUU
Non-coding RNA from Kogia breviceps (pygmy sperm whale), 347 nucleotides. Lineage: Eukaryota; Metazoa; Chordata; Mammalia; Artiodactyla; Physeteridae. The record is from RefSeq and is a predicted model, not a curated record.